AGCUGAAGGAGAUAGGAUACUGCAAGCAAGAGGUUGGAGUGAUGUAAAGAAGGGGCUGCGAGCAGGGAAGGCAGGACCCUCCAGACACUGAAAAAGACACAUAAGGAAUUCUUCCCUAGAGCUUCCAGGAGGAACGCAGCCCUGCCCGACACCUUGAUUUUAGGCUCUCAUGGUCUGGUUAUCAGAGAGUUCUAGUCCCUGUUCUGGUUACAUUUGUCAUUAUAAAUUGAAACUUCUGGAUUUGGUGAAUGAAAGGCAACCUGAGAGACCCAUCCCCUCGCGGUGUGCUAUUGAAGGAUUUCUGGGCCUGCGAGGAGGAAAACUAGACCUUGCUGAAAUUCACCAGCAGGGUGCAGUUCACCCAGUGAGACCUUUCGGGGCAGAGCCUGCCAGCGUCUUCGGAAGGAAAUGCCCCUCGACACUAACUUUACUGUGUGCUGGAAUUUUGAAACAUCUUAAUCUACCUUGUGUAGUUUGGAGAAUUAAAGGCAAAAUAAGUGAAUCAACUGGAAUUAAAUAAACUUAACAAA
This 530-nucleotide long non-coding RNA is filed under the name Equus caballus (horse). Its description in RNAcentral is "lncRNA (ENSECAG00000053740.1)". Lineage: Eukaryota; Metazoa; Chordata; Mammalia; Perissodactyla; Equidae. The record is from RNAcentral.